UACGUAGGGUGCAAGCGUUAAUCGGAAUUACUGGGCGUAAAGCGCGCGUAGGCGGCUUUGUAAGUUAGAGGUGAAAGCCCGGGGCUCAACUCCGGAAUUGCCUUUAAGACUGCAUCGCUAGAAUUGUGGAGAGGUAAGUGGAAUUCCGAGUGUAGAGGUGAAAUUCGUAGAUAUUCGGAAGAACACCAGUGGCGAAGGCGACUUACUGGACACAUAUUGACGCUGAGGUGCGAAAGCGUGGGGAGCAAACAGG
Molecule: ribosomal RNA, 253 nt
Filed under: uncultured bacterium
Lineage: Bacteria
Description: partial 16S ribosomal RNA
Rfam family: Bacterial small subunit ribosomal RNA
Source: RNAcentral